GAUGGACGCUGGCGGCGUGCCUAAUACAUGCAAGUCGAGCGAACGGACGAGAAGCUUGCUUCUCUGAUGUUAGCGGCGGACGGGUGAGUAACACGUGGAUAACCUACCUAUAAGACUGGGAUAACUUCGGGAAACCGGAGCUAAUACCGGAUAAUAUUUUGAACCGCAUGGUUCAAAAGUGAAAGACGGUCUUGCUGUCACUUAUAGAUGGAUCCGCGCUGCAUUAGCUAGUUGGUAAGGUAACGGCUUACCAAGGCAACGAUGCAUAGCCGACCUGAGAGGGUGAUCGGCCACACUGGAACUGAGACACGGUCCAGACUCCUACGGGAGGCAGCAGUAGGGAUUCUUCCGCAAUGGGCGAAAGCCUGACGGAGCAACGCCGCGUGAGUGAUGAAGGUCUUCGGAUCGUAAAACUCUGUUAUUAGGGAAGAACAUAUGUGUAAGUAACUGUGCACAUCUUGACGGUACCUAAUCAGAAAGCCGCGGCUAACUACGUG
This 497-nucleotide ribosomal RNA is filed under the name uncultured bacterium. RNAcentral's name for it is "partial 16S ribosomal RNA". It matches the Rfam family "Bacterial small subunit ribosomal RNA", at positions 28 to 507 of the family's 1533-position model. The record is from RNAcentral.